UAUAUAGUGGGUGUUUGGGCUCAGUUUUUAAAAAAUAAUUUUGAAUACAAAAGUAAUUUUUGGUUUAAUAGAGUGUUUGACAAUCUCAUUUUUAAAAUCUGAUUCUAAUUUUCACAAUCAGUUUUCUGCUUUUCAAGGCCCAAAAUAAAAAAAAACAACUAGAAUCUGUUUCUUUAAACCUGAUUCUGAUUUUGGACUUAAAUUUUAAGCUUUAAACUUCAAUUUAGAUUUUAAAUUUCAAAUUGUAAAUUUAAACUGAGAUUUUAAAAUUUAAAUUUUGAAUUUUGAAUUUAAAUUUUUAAAUUUUAAAUUUUAAAUUUAUAUUUAAAUUAAAUUAUCAAAUUAUAAAACUUAAAAUUUAAAAUUUAAAUUAUUUUAAAAUAAAUUUUAGUAAAAAAAUUGAUUAUUUGCAAAGAGUAAAAAAAAUUUGCCGAACAGCUUUAUAAAAUCAUUUCAGAAAAAUCGCUUGUUAUCUAAACUUACUCAAACGUUCUAUAAUUUUUAAUCAAAAUUAAUUCUUCAAAACAAAAUUAAUUAUACAAAAAUUAUCUCUUCAGAAUCUAGAUCAAACACGCCCAUACUCCAAACUAAUUUUAU
Molecule: long non-coding RNA, 597 nt
Filed under: Ananas comosus (pineapple)
Lineage: Eukaryota; Viridiplantae; Streptophyta; Magnoliopsida; Poales; Bromeliaceae
Description: long non-coding RNA (ACOM_LNC001607)
Source: RNAcentral